Molecule: long non-coding RNA, 982 nt
Filed under: Populus trichocarpa (black cottonwood)
Lineage: Eukaryota; Viridiplantae; Streptophyta; Magnoliopsida; Malpighiales; Salicaceae
Description: long non-coding RNA (PTRI_LNC002635)
Source: RNAcentral
CAUCGACAGGUAGUAGGUACAUAGCCAACAAGCCAAAUCUAGCCCUUGUCUCCCGAGUCCCACCAAAAAUUGCCCUGUGUCUAAGAUCUGCUGUCCUUCUCCCGAUGUGAAUUAAUGGCUGUCUUUUCCUAGCUUUCCCUUACAGUAAGGAAAUAAAAUUAAGCAAGCCCCACUUUAAUCAAUGUUUUCACGUGAAAACCCUGCAGCAACAUAUUUCAUCUCCAUCUUGGUGCACAAAACCCUACUGUAUGUAUACCAUGAUCAAUUCAUCCUCUCUAACAUUCUUCUAAUGACUUAUUAACUGACAAUAUCUCCUGACUACAUGUCUAAUCCUUAAGAGUCAAUGCCCUACUUAGGAUCUUAAUUAUUAAGAAAAGCACAACAUUAACCACCCAAAAAAUCAUGACCGUAUUGAUCAUUAAAUGCCUUAAUUAAGCUUGGUAGAAUACAAAAGAAAAGAUAAACGAGCAAACCCCAUUUUCUUCGAUGUUUCCUCAACCUCAAUGAUGGUUUUGUAGCCUUAAAGUUGUCCAUGCUAUCAAGAGACAAGGAGUCCUACUGGUGCCAAAUAUGUAAUGAGCUUAGUGUUAUUGAUACUUGCCGUAUUUCUGCCAGCAUAGUAACAUAAUGAUGCACCUCCUCAUUAUGUAGAGCCUAGACCUUUGUUCUCUAGCCAUAAGCACCCAUAUAUCUUUUCCUCAAGCUUGAAGAAGUCUGAUCAUGAUCUCCACUACUGUGUCCUCCUUGUGUUGAUGAUGAUGAUGAAUAACACUGACCCAUAUUCCAAUUUUUUACCACAAUUAAGGAGCCACGAGCUAGAGGGAAACUCUAAUAAAGAAGAGUGAGAGAUUUGUGCGGGCUUGAAGGGGUUAGUACUAGAUGCUCUUUUUUCUAUGUUACAUAGAUGGACCACUUCCACAAAUCUCUUGGUAUCUGGUCUGUCCUCAAAACAGGACUAGAAUAGAGACUUUAUGAAGAGAGA